AACCCAAGCUGGGAACACGCUGGCACCCAACCCCUGGCCCCACCCCAAGCUAGCCCCCAGAAAGCGGAAGCAGCUGGUCCACUGAGGAGGAGGGCCAGGGGGCUGUUGAUGCUCCCUGCCCUUGGGAUGCACUUGAGGCGGUGGGACCCUGCCCUUGCCGCUCCUGAGGCUCCUGAGACGGAAAGAAAAGGACUCUUCAUUUUAAAGAGGAGAAAAUUUCUCCUUCCAGCCAGAGCAUUCCAGGCCGCCUUGUCCCUGGGAACUAGGGACGUUCGUCCAGCCCCACUGGGCCCACCCACCCAGAACCCCGAUCCACACUGGCAGGAGCUGAGGACAGCUGGGCUCACCCUGGCCGGGGCACCACCAUGGCUGCCACAGGCCUUGGCCUUACUCUUCAUGGCACACCACCUGUCCGGACCACCCUGGCCUCUGCACUGGUCCCUCCACUCUGCAAACUUGGCUCCCACCAGACAAGAAAGGGACCCGGAGGAGGACAGAGCCAAGGCGGGCGAAGGAGCAGGCACUCGACCCCCCAUGUCCCUCCAGCAAGGCCCUGAAGUUCUGAGGGGCAGUCGAAGCAGGGCUCCAGUCUCCAUGAAACCCAGACCAGCCACUAAACUCCCAAGGGACUGGACCAUGAUGAUCUGUCCCUGAAGACUUCACUCGGCUGGAAUGAUGACAGCGCAGAUGACACUGGUCCCCCGAGCGCUCGGCACACACAGCGUUGGCAGGAUGAAGUCUGUGGCCCCUCCAGGGAAGGCCGGGUGACACAGGGCAGCUUGGGGACGUGCCAAAAAACAGGAGACAGGAAUGACCAUCUCCGAAAUCCCCUCUGGGAUCAGCCCCACCUGACCCCCCCCCCCCCAGGAAUC
Neomonachus schauinslandi (Hawaiian monk seal) is the source of this 872-nucleotide long non-coding RNA. RefSeq lists it as uncharacterized. The record is from RefSeq and is a predicted model, not a curated record. The transcript is spliced from 4 exons. Lineage: Eukaryota; Metazoa; Chordata; Mammalia; Carnivora; Phocidae.